This 478-nucleotide long non-coding RNA is filed under the name Drosophila guanche. Lineage: Eukaryota; Metazoa; Arthropoda; Insecta; Diptera; Drosophilidae. The record is from RNAcentral.
CGGGUAUAAAAACAAUAAGGUACAGAUACAUAUACCAACUGAGUACCGGGUAUAAAAGUUGUGUCGCUUAAGAAAUUGAAAUUGAAAUUGAACAGCCAAAGGGGACUGCAGUUCCGCAGACGUCACAGAGCGGCCGCUUCAGUUGCAUGGAAUUAAUUGUACUGCCUUAUUGAUUUGGUUUUUGUUUUAGUCGCUCCUGAUACUACACUUGAAUGUCCAUCGACUUGAUAUUAUUUCAGGUGUUGGAUUGAUAGAGUAGCUGUCGCUAAUGAGUGCACAAUAACAUGAAGAGACGAUGCCACUGGGCAACGGACUGGACGGCUAAAAUCAACAAGUAAAAUGGAUCGGUUUCCGAGAUAAAUUUUAUCAUGGGAUAGGAAAUGGAGCGGGAUAUCGCUGUUCAAGCAAUUGAUUGUACUUGAUGACAACUAAUUGUGCAAUAAGCACUUCGUAACUUGUUCUUUUAAUUCGAUUGGAC